AGUGAGCGCUGGCGGUAGGCCUAACACAUGCAAGUCGAACGGCAGCACAGUAAGAGCUUGCUCUUACGGGUGGCGAGUGGCGGACGGGUGAGGAAUACAUCGGAAUCUACUUUUUCGUGGGGGAUAACGUAGGGAAACUUACGCUAAUACCUCAUACGACCUACGGGUGAAAGCAGGGGAUCUUCGGACCUUUCGCGAUUGAAUGAGCCCGUGUCGGAUUAGCUAGUUGGCGGGGUAAAGGCCCACCAAGGCAACGAUCCGUAGCCGGUCCGAGAGGAUGAACGGGCACACUGGGAAUUGGACACCGGCCCAGACCCCAAGGGGAGGCAGAAGUGGGAAACAUUGGAAAAGGGGCGAAGCCCUGAGCCAGACAUACCGGGUGGGUGAAGAGGGCCUUCGGGUUGUAAAGCCCUUUUGUUGGGAAAGAAAAGCAGCAGGUUAACACCCCGCUGUUCUACCGGUACCAAAAGAAUAAGCACCGGCUAACUUCGU
RNAcentral lists this ribosomal RNA (492 nucleotides) under uncultured bacterium. RNAcentral describes it as "partial 16S ribosomal RNA". It matches the Rfam family "Bacterial small subunit ribosomal RNA", at positions 29 to 506 of the family's 1533-position model. The record is from RNAcentral.